GAGGAGUUAGUUAAUUUUAUAACAUAAGGUUGUCAAUCUUAAAUUACUAGGGAUCUAGUACUCUUCU
Molecule: transfer RNA, 67 nt
Filed under: Divia briandi
Lineage: Eukaryota; Metazoa; Mollusca; Gastropoda; Cycloneritida; Phenacolepadidae
Description: tRNA-Asp
Rfam family: tRNA
About the family: Transfer RNA (tRNA) molecules are approximately 80 nucleotides in length. Their secondary structure includes four short double-helical elements and three loops (D, anti-codon, and T loops). Further hydrogen bonds mediate the characteristic L-shaped molecular structure. tRNAs have two regions of fundamental functional importance: the anti-codon, which is responsible for specific mRNA codon recognition, and the 3' end, to which the tRNAs corresponding amino acid is attached (by aminoacyl-tRNA synthetases). tRNAs cope with the degeneracy of the genetic code in two manners: having more than one tRNA (with a specific anti-codon) for a particular amino acid; and 'wobble' base-pairing, i.e. permitting non-standard base-pairing at the 3rd anti-codon position.
Source: RNAcentral